This is a non-coding RNA of Arachis ipaensis, 2985 nucleotides long. NCBI's taxonomy places the organism in Eukaryota, Viridiplantae, Streptophyta, Magnoliopsida, Fabales, Fabaceae. The record is from RefSeq and is a predicted model, not a curated record.
AUCAGAGAACACCACAAAAAGAGGAUUAGGGUUCUCCAUUGCACGGAAAAAAGAGAAGACAGAAGAAAAAAAAUGCACGGUGAGGAGAAAUUAACAGAGAGUGAUGAAGAGAAGAAAAGAAAGGAAGAACUGCCAUCAAAGGAGGAAGAAGAGAAAGAAGGAGAAGAAGACGACGGAGAGAGAAGUUGCCACCGCCACUUUCUUCACCUCCAGCACCGUCUCUGCCUUGCGCUGUUGUUGUUGUUUCUACCUUGCGCUGCCAGAUCUACCACUACUGUAAUCCCUCUUCUCUACUCCCUGUCGUCGUGUUUCUCAUUGCUCGAGCUCACGCCUUGUUCUGCUAUGCUCUGUCGUGUUUUUCUGCUCACGCCGUUCUGAAACCUGUGCUCUGCUCCGCGUUCUGAAACCUUUGCUCUGCUCCGCCGUGGUGCCGUGCUCUAUCCUCUCGGGCAAAUCGACAACUCUCCGCCGUUCACCUCUUUCACUCAAGCCUCUCGCCUCAGCCUCGGUCCUCAGCAUCUCUUCCUCCAUCGUCGUUGUUGAAGGCUUGUAGAUUGAUUUUACAUACUACUUGAUUAAUUUAGUUGAAUUGUUGAAUUAAUAACAAUAGUUCCAUUUCGAGUUCGAUCAUGUCGAAGGACAAAGACUUUACCAAUUUGUCGCUCACCUUCAAAUACCUCUUAGGCAUCUUAUGGCUCUGUGUUUUCCUCUGAAGAUUAUCAAAGAACUGUUACUAAUGGUGAGCUUCAAAAAAAGAUGAAUGAUGAAAAAAAAGAUUACAAGAUUGCGCACGUUGUUAUGGUUAUUGAAAUUUUGUGUUGGACCAUAGCAGCAAUCCAACUCUGAAGCCCGAGACCGACUCUGUCCAUCUCCUCCGCAAACAAAAGCACUUACUUGUCUGGUCUGAUUUUCAUGUAAGAGAUGGCAUUGCCAUAUACAUUUACAAACCUUAUAAAAGAAUGAAAAUUGAUGCUAGAAGAAAGGCAGAGGCAUCAAGCAAUAGCCAAUUUCUUGCAAACAUGAGCCAUGAAUUGAGGACACCUAUGGCUGCAAUAAUUGGGCUACUUGACAUUCUUAUGUCCAACGACUGUCUAACCAACGAACAGUGUGCAACGGUUACUCAGAUAAGAAAAUGCUCGAUGGCACUACUCCGGCUUCUUAAUAACAUCCUGGAUCUCAGCAAGGUGACAUAUUUAAUUAUUUUGCUCAAGAACAUUCAAUUAUAAGUUCCUUGAAAAAAAUAUGCACUUACUUGUUUGGAAAAACUUUCUAAAGAUUCAUAGAAUAUAGGUGGAAUCAGGAAAGCUAGUUCUAGAAGAUGCUGAAUUCAACUUGGGAAGGGAACUUGAAGGACUAGUGGAUAUGUAUUCGUUACUUUACGGGAAGCAUAUUAAUAUUUGCCAUCAUGUUAUCUUAUAUUGUAUUACAUAGUGUUAAACACCAUCUUAAAUUAGUGAAAAGCACCGUUAAAAAUGUGAUUUUAACAACCUUUUAUAUAUUUAUUUUAUUUUUUUAAGUAUGUUAUACAAAGUGUUUUCUAUAAAUAUACGUAGGCUUUAAUAAUACACAUUAUAGUUCCUGUGUGUGGUCUUUAGACAUGUUUUGUCAUUUCAUCUUAUCUUUGAUUUGAUCUCCUUAAUGCAUCUAGAUGUUAGUACCUGUCAUACUGAGACAAUUUUCAUUAAGUGUUGCAGAUUGGGCAGUAGUUUUGCUUUAGAUCAAAUGUUGAUUUUGCUUAUAUCAUUAAACGGGAGGGUGAUAAAUUAAAUCUCUAAUUAACUUGACUGUUGACAGAGUUGAUGUUAGUCUAUGUUGAGAAGGUAUUUUGGCACUCAUAAAUAGAUUAUUAGCAAUUGUAGUUUGUAUUUAUAUAAAAUAUACAAAUUCAUAUAUAUUACUCAAAUAUACUAAUUUGUGAAAGAUGAAAGAAGCAGCAGCAUGUUGAUAGCUUGAGUAAUUAGUAUAAAGGAAACCUUAUCUGAUAUGAAGUGAGGCACAACCAUGCAUUGUGUAGACAAAUAUUGUUAAGUAUCAAGUUUGACCAGUCAAACUUGGCACAUGACGUCAAUUUGUAGGUUAAUUAAUGGUCCAAAAUCCUUGUGGAGAAUAUCAUCUCAUAGAAGAAGAGAAUCAAAUCCGUUAAAGUAGUUAGAGGCUCCUAUUAACUCACUUAUCCACCCUUGGUUUCAGUUUCAGUUUGAAGAUUCUCUGAACCCUUGUGCACUACUGUGGUAGGUGAUGGCCUUAUCAAGCUCACAUAUACAAAGGUUCCUCUUGGGCAAGCUCCAUAGUUUCAGUUCCAACUUGAUAAUUCACUAUGUGGUCUGCAGAUACUUAAUAAGAAGUGGAUCUGUUCUUUUUUAAAUUUUCUAAAUGGAAUCCUAUGUGAAUGAAAACACCUCAUUUAUGCUGAUCUUGUUUUGAAUGUUGGAAAACAUAAAGUUUUUAGUCUUGUUCUAUUUUAGGUUCUUUUGUCAAUUUGCUCAUUGUUGACGGAUCCCAACCCUGAUGAUCCUCUUGUCCCUGAAAUUGCGGACAUGUACAAGACUGACAGGGCUAAGUAUGAAGCUACUGCACGCAGCUGAACACUAAGUGCAAAUGGUGCAUAUAGAAAAAUUGUUGCGGCAUGACCUCGUUAAGAAUUAUUGAUUUAAUAGGGAAGUUUGAUGUUACUCGCACAUAGUUAUUAGGGGAGUAUAACAAUGGCUACUGCAGCAGUUAUUGGACUCGGUGGAGGCAAGAGGAUUUUGAGUUCAUCAUACCAUUACUCUGAUGUUACCGAAAAGCUUUCAUUUGGCACUGAUUUUGGAUCCACACACUAUCAGAUUGUUCCAACAAAGCCAAGCAUGGAUAUAAAAUAUGCAAGUAGAUUGACAUCUUUUUGAUAAAUAUUAAUUACUAUUUUGUUGCGAUAAUUAUUAUUAGACAAUAAUUUUAUUUUGUUGAGAAUUAUUGAUGAACAUGAAUUUGAAAUACUAAUUGAAC